RNAcentral lists this unclassified non-coding RNA (329 nucleotides) under soil metagenome. RNAcentral describes it as "partial contains 5.8S ribosomal RNA, internal transcribed spacer 2, and large subunit ribosomal RNA". The stretch from base 1 to 120 matches the Rfam family "5.8S ribosomal RNA", at positions 35 to 154 of the family's 154-position model. The record is from RNAcentral.
GAUGAAGAACGCAGCGAAAUGCGAUAAGUAAUGUGAAUUGCAGAAUUCAGUGAAUCAUCGAAUCUUUGAACGCACAUUGCGCCCCAUGGUAUUCCGGGGGGCAUGCCUGUCCGAGCGUCAUUACAACCCUCAAGCUCAGCUUGGUGUUGGGCCCCGCCGCCCCGGCGGGCCCUAAAGUCAGUGGCGGUGCCGUCCGGCUCCGAGCGUAGUAAUUCUUCUCGCUCUGGAGGUCCGGUCGUGUGCUCGCCAGCAACCCCCAAUUUUUUUCAGGUUGACCUCGGAUCAGGUAGGGAUACCCGCUGAACUUAAGCAUAUCAAUAAGCGGAGGA